This 253-nucleotide ribosomal RNA is filed under the name uncultured bacterium. RNAcentral describes it as "partial 16S ribosomal RNA". It matches the Rfam family "Bacterial small subunit ribosomal RNA", at positions 524 to 776 of the family's 1533-position model. The record is from RNAcentral.
UACGUAGGGUGCGAGCGUUAAUCGGAAUUACUGGGCGUAAAGCGUGCGCAGGCGGUGGCUCAAGCCAGGCGUGAAAUCCCCGGGCUUAACCUGGGAACUGCAAUUGAAACUGUGUAACUAGAGUCGAAGAGAGGGAAGCGGAAUUUCCGGUGUAGCGGUGAAAUGCGUAGAUAUCGGAAGGAACACCCGUGGCGAAGGCGGCUUCCUGGCUUCAGACUGACGCUGAGGUGCGAAAGCGUGGGUAGCGAACAGG